Long non-coding RNA from Phoenix dactylifera (date palm), 849 nucleotides. RefSeq lists it as uncharacterized. The record is from RefSeq and is a predicted model, not a curated record. NCBI's taxonomy places the organism in Eukaryota, Viridiplantae, Streptophyta, Magnoliopsida, Arecales, Arecaceae.
CAUUAUUACACGCGGACCCCUGUCAACAUUAGAAUUGUAGAAAACUUCAUCUUCUGGUGGCAUAACGCAUUUAACCGCAAAGGCCCUCCGGCUAUCCAAGCGUCGAUAUUUACGAAGUGGGGAGUGGGGAGCGCGCGCGAUGUCUUCAUCCAAGACCCUCUCGAGCCCCGCCGGCGGCGGCGCUGGCGACGGAGUGCCGUCACGGCCGUCGACGACAUCGUCGGGGGAGAGGAACCAAAAGGAGAUCCGGGAGCUCAACGCCGACUGCUCCGACGGGCCCAAGGGCGACAAGCACUACCAUUGGGUACCGCCAUGAUCGGCCCUUAAGGACCACCAAUAAUUUCUGAAAGAAAAGCCGUGAGAUUCGACCAGGUCAAAGAAUCCGACCCAAUGUUUGAACCUGGAACCUCCAAAUGGAGAAAAGGAAAGGAGAAGAAACUAUAUAGGAAAGAGCAUGAGAAUAAAAACCGCCUCUCAUUGGCUACCAUGCUUCCACCCCUGCCACCAGGGGAUCAUAGCAGGGCAGCCAUGGCCUGUUUCAGUAUGCCUAAUGUCCCUGACAAGCAGUUCAUGGUGGUUCUUCACCUCUGCGGGCGUCUUCGAGGCUUCCAGGUGACAUCCCAGCCGCAUUGUGACAGCAGUGGGCAGUGUCCUUGACAUACGUUUGUAGAGCACAAGGUGAAAGGAAGCGUGAUUCCAAGCAGCGGAGCUGUUGAUGGCAGUUGGAACAAUAUUUUGGAGCCGUUGAUAAGGAGCCUCUACUGACAUUUAUAAAAAUCAAAAUGUUUGACACCUGGUCCUUCAUUUGGCUACGUUUAAUGAUUAAUCCUUGCAUUGUGAGUCCUCUUA